GAAUUUCCUUGAAAAACUGGGUUAUUUUUGUAAAAAAACCUAUGAUCACUUAACUAUAAAUGUGACGUUUCCACUUAUGAAAAGUCUUACAUUUCCACUUCAAACUACUUAUGAGGUUUGAAUCAUUUGAUAUACAUCAAAACUUUUCAAAGGAUAUCAUUAUCUCUUAAAAUAAAUAAAAUAACUGAAGAAAUAAUGAAAUGAAUAAAGCAAUUUUUAAAAAUUUGAAUUUAAU
This 235-nucleotide long non-coding RNA is filed under the name Lathyrus oleraceus (garden pea). Its description in RNAcentral is "Pisum sativum (pea) long non-coding RNA (PSAT_LNC037730)". Lineage: Eukaryota; Viridiplantae; Streptophyta; Magnoliopsida; Fabales; Fabaceae. The record is from RNAcentral.